AACGAACGCUGGCGGCAUGCCUAACACAUGCAAGUCGAACGAGAUCUUCGGAUCUAGUGGCGCACGGGUGCGUAACGCGUGGUAAUCUGCCCUUUGCUUCGGAAUAACAGUGAGAAAUUACUGCUAAUACCGGAUGAUGUCUUCGGACCAAAGAUUUAUCGGCAAAGGAUGAGCCCGCGUAGGAUUAGGUGGUUGGUGGGGUAAUGGCCUACCAAGCCGACGAUCCUUAGCUGGUCUGAGAGGAUGAUCAGCCACACUGGGACUGAGACACGGCCCAGACUCCUACGGGGGGCAGCAGUGGGGAAUAUUGGGCGAUGAGGGAAAACCUGGUACAGCAGUGCCGCGUGAGUGAUGAAGGCCUUAGGGUUGUAAAGCUCUUUUACCAGGGAUGAUAAUGACAGUACCUGGAGAAUAAGCACCGGCUAACUCCGUG
This 433-nucleotide ribosomal RNA is filed under the name uncultured bacterium. RNAcentral's name for it is "partial 16S ribosomal RNA". It matches the Rfam family "Bacterial small subunit ribosomal RNA", at positions 29 to 507 of the family's 1533-position model. The record is from RNAcentral.